This is a non-coding RNA of Phasianus colchicus (ring-necked pheasant), 1038 nucleotides long. NCBI's taxonomy places the organism in Eukaryota, Metazoa, Chordata, Aves, Galliformes, Phasianidae. The record is from RefSeq and is a predicted model, not a curated record.
AUUAGCUGUAGCUACGACAACAAGUUAAGGGGAUCUACAGAAGAGAGUUUUGAUCCUGCUCAGUGUGAUAAGUUGUACCAGUUAGAGGACACAGAGAGACGAGCCUUGCAUCAAGAGGGGGAACAGGCAGGAGGAGAUAACAGGAAAAGCACCUGGAUAUACAUCUGGACAGAGAGAGCUCUGACAUUUAGCACAGAAGAUUACACAAACAUCUUUUGUGGCAUGUAGGUAAACCUGCAAGCUUACAUCUCCCCAUAAAAAACAAAGACCAACCUGAUGAAGGGAUGAUAGAAUUUUAAGAAGAAAUUUGUUUUUCUGGAAUCACUUCCCUUGGAAAAUAGCUCAAACAGAUGCAACAUGACUUAACCACAGUAGGCUCCUGGAGGCACUGUUUUCCCAGUUUCCCCUGUGCUUUCUGAAUUUUGAGACUAUCAAUGUUUACCGUGGAACGCAACAUCUCCUGCAGCAUGGAGCUGUAUAUUCAGCUGCUGAGAACCAAUUCUCUGCUGCUAUCAAUCAUCAGACUUUACUGAGUCAGGCUACCACCAACAGCAGGUAACAGAGAGAAAAUGAGAAGUAGAGAUUGAUUUCACACUCCACCCAAAACAAAGGAAUUUGAGUCAGACCAUGAAGCUAAUGAUCACUGAUAAGGCCUGGCAAGAAGUGAACAACUUGAUAACGUGACAGUUUGGCAGAAUCUGACAGUAUUUUCUGAAGUCUGAGCCAUGCUCACAUGGCAUAAAUCAUUCCUGCCCGAGUUCUCUCAAUUAGCCAUUUUGCAGGAACAAGGAGACACUGCAGAAUAUACGCCAGAAUGUGCAACUCCAUCUGCAGAAAAUUAAAAAUAGAUGCUUAUAAGGCAAGAGAUGCAGAAAGAGCAAAACAAACUUUUCUCUCUUCUGCAGAUAUGCUCACCUGGGAAGGUAGACUCCCAAAAGCCUUCAAUCUAAAUUGUCCACCUAAAUCAACAAGCUGCCUUCUAGAGCACAUAGGUAAUAGCGUUCGCCUGUUUCAGCAGUAAAAAAUGAUGUAAUACUA